GUGCCAGCAGCCGCGGUAAUACCGGCAGCACAAGUGAUGGCCAAUCUUAUUGGGCCUAAAGCGUCCGUAGCUGGCCGACCAAGUCUCCCGGGAAAUCCACCCGCUCAACGGGUGGGCGUCCGGUAGAAACUGGCCGGCUUGGAACCGGAAGGCUCAGAGAGUACGUCCGGGGUAGGAGUGAAAUCCCGUAAUCCCGGACGGACUACCGAUGGCGAAAGCACUCUGAGAAGACGGCUCCGACAGUGAGGGACGAAAGCCAGGGUCUCCAACCGGAUUAGAUACCCUGGUAGUCC
This 293-nucleotide ribosomal RNA is filed under the name uncultured bacterium. Its description in RNAcentral is "partial 16S ribosomal RNA". It matches the Rfam family "Archaeal small subunit ribosomal RNA", at positions 455 to 747 of the family's 1478-position model. The record is from RNAcentral.